Molecule: unclassified non-coding RNA, 347 nt
Filed under: Hevea brasiliensis (rubber tree)
Lineage: Eukaryota; Viridiplantae; Streptophyta; Magnoliopsida; Malpighiales; Euphorbiaceae
Source: RNAcentral
CAUGUUAUUGGCAAGGGAAAAUGGAGGCAUCUUGCAAUAGAAAAUGGGAGUUCAAGAAAUGGAUAUUUGGAUCCUGUUGAAAGGGAGGACUUGUUUUUGGGCAGCGAUGGGCAACCAAAGCUCUCUGUGUCCCUUGCCCGGCAGUGUCUCUUCAAUGCUCUGCAUUUGUUGGACUGUUCUGAUAUAAAAGGUUUGAAGUCCAGUUUACCUUCCAGUAUUUCCUUGGAGGAAAAUGAAUCAAGUGAAGCAGGAUCUCUCAAGAAUUCAAACCACAAGGGUUCAACUGGCCUAGAUACCAAAGCAUCAACUUUAUCUGUAGGCUUAGGUCAGCUUAAUGCAAAUGGGGA